This 4434-nucleotide long non-coding RNA is filed under the name Sus scrofa (pig). Its description in RNAcentral is "lncRNA (ENSSSCG00055018214.1, ENSSSCG00065021454.1)". The record is from RNAcentral. Lineage: Eukaryota; Metazoa; Chordata; Mammalia; Artiodactyla; Suidae.
CAUGUUUUGUGUAAAUCACGUCCUUUUUUCCUACCAAAUGAGCUUAUAAUUGUUUGCAUAUGUUUAUUAUUUUAGUCCCAGAAUAUUACUAUAUGACCAUGAAAGAAAACUUAGAAAACAGGAAAAUGGGGCAGUGAGGGGAGGAAUCACUCACAGUCUACAUAUUAUUAUUUCUUCCCUAUCACCUUUUUGGAUGGACCUUUUUCUACAUCAUUCUAAUUUAGGCGGCAAUUUCAAGGGAGACUUUAGCUUUUUUUUUUUUUUGUCUGUUUGCCUUUUCUUGGGGCGCUCCCGUGGCAUAUGGAGCAGCCCUAGAAAAGGCAAAAAGGCAAAAAAAACCAAAAACAAAACAAAACAAAGCCUGUGUUCUGUGGACAAUGGGUGUACAGCAAGCUAAGGCCCAAGUAGGCUGAAUGAGGAUCACCCUCCCCAACUAGAAACUCUCACCUGCCCUACAACAGAGCUCAAACCAGAGAGAAAGGAAAAACCUCCAGUCUUUGCCUGAUGUCGUCACUCAGCUUGUGACAUAUCUUUAUACAUCCAAAUUAUAAUCGUUUAUUGCACAUCCAUCAAAGGAGUGAAACUAAAAAUACUCUCAAUACCAAGAGUUGGAAAGGGAGAGGAGCAACCGGAACGCAUAUGCUAUAGGCAGGAGUCCACACUGGCACAAGGCGUUUGGGGUACACGUCAGCAACAACUAGGGAAGCAGAAAACAUGCAGAGUUCCUAGGUAUAGCGUGUUCCUAGGUGUUCCUAGGUAUAGCGCCUAAAGAAAUUGCCCCACAUGUUCACAAAAAGGUCAAAAUUCUUCACAGCAACGUUGUUUAUAAUAUAGAAAAACAAAUGAAAACAAGAGAAUGAGUACUUUGUGAAAUGGUCACAGAAUAGAAGUCACUGCAUAGCAGCUAAUCUAAUUUCCUAGAUUAACAUGCAGUCCCUAAAUUAACAAGGGUAAAGAGUAAAAGCAUAAUAUUAAGCAAAAAGCACACCGUGGAAGGUCAGGUAGAGUUGUUUGUUUUGUUUUGUUUUUAUGGCCACGCCUGUGGCACAUGGAAGUUCCCAGGCCAAGGGUUGAAUCAGAGCUACAGCUGUCGCCCAUCCCACAGCUUGUGAUGCCAGAUCCUUAACUCAUUGAGCGAGGCCAGGAAUCAAACCCGCAUCUUCAUAGAGAUAAUGUCAGGUCCUUAACCCAUUGAGCCACAGUGGGGACUCCUAGGUUACUAUUUAUACAAGUUUUAAAAAUCCGCAAAGCAAUACCACACAUCAUUAGUGGAUUUAUACAUACAUAGCAAACGUUUAGAAACUUGCAUGGGAAUGAAAGAACAUUAUGUUUAGUUGAGAGAGUAUCCCUGGAAAAGAAAAGAAAUAGGAUUUAGGAAGGGAGCUUCAGCUGUAUCUACAAUGUUUUAUUUUUGUUAACUCUAACACAAAUAUGGCAAAAUGCAUCUGAAAAGGAGUUUUUUUUUUUUCUGUUUUUCAGUAUACUUAAGAUAUUUCAAAAUUUAGAAAAAGAAAACAAAGCAUGUUGGAUUGGCCAUGCAUUGGUCUGGGUAUCCAUGAGUCUAUGAACUUAGGAAUAACAAUGGUCCAUCCACAAUCUGGGAGAUUUUGACAAACCUAAUGCCAUCACAAAGGCCUUUGUAUCCCCAUGCCCCAGCACAGGGCUUGGUCCAAAGCAACUAAAGACUAAAUGUUGAAUGAAUGAAUGAACCAACAAACGAACAAAUAAAUGGCCAAAUGAACUGAAUGGGUUGUUUGUUAUACAUGCCUUUGAAUGAAAAAGAUGGAAAAAAUUAUUCUUAAUAAUUUGAAAUUCAAACUACGUCUACAUAUGAGUCCAUGGAAAGCUCUUCUUACAGCCAUCGUUAGAAAAUAACUGAAAACAAGUGGACAAAGUCACCUUGAAAUUUUUUCUAUCCCUAGAAUUUAGUAUUUUUCCUUAUCUCAGAGGCAGUCACAGCAUACUCAUCACAUUCUAUUCCUCUCAAAAAGAAGUUCAGGAGUUCCCUGGUGGCAAAGCAGGUUAAGGAUCAGGCAUUGUCACUGCAGCAGCUCAGGUCACUGCUGUGGUAUGGGUUCAAUGCCCAGCCUGGGACCUUCCACAUGCUGGGGGUAAGGGAAAAGAAUUAUUUUUUAAUAAAGGUCAAAAAAAAUUUUAAAUAAAAAAGUUCAUUGUCAUAACAGAUGUAACCAAUAACCUGAAAUAUUUAUAAGUCAAAAGGUAUAUAAGUCAAUUAAAGCACUCUCCCAAGCCUUAGGUGAAGAAUUCUCCACAUUUCUCUGUCUUAUUUACCAGAUGCAUCAGGAUUCUGAGUCAGGCUGUCUUCGUGAAUAAAAGUUGUUCCCAAACUGUCCUCAAAAUGCUAGAACGUAAGAAAAAACUGCCAGUGUGGAUCCCUGUGAUUUCAGAUUCCCGAUCAUUAUAAAAUAAUAUACAGACUCUGUGAAACCCAACAGAAAUAUGCUAGGGUCAAUGUUUGCCAUUAUAUUUUUCCACAAAAUUCAGUUACAUUUCAAAAGAACCAAAACAAGAUCCAUGAUUUAUUCACAAAGCCUACUAAUUAAAUCCCCCAAAAGCAGUUUAAAAUAAUGUAAGCCAAGAGAAUAAUUUCAGAAACUACCCUAGACCUCCACUAUCUGAAAUAAGGUGGCUGUUUUCCACAUUCUUCUUUCUGUUCUUAAAAUAUUAAUUGACUUUCAAAUAUAAUCCUGGCGCUUCCUUCAAAAUACCUUUUCCAUGAAGCAGGGCCAUGUAUUUAUAGUGUCCCUUUAAAGUUUAACAAAAGAAGGAUUCAAAUGGAGUUACCUCCACUCGGCAGAAGCCUUUUUUCAAAUGUGUAACAGGAUCUGACUGCAGUCACUAGGUCUGCUCUCCACACAAAGAAAGGCUGGAAAACAUUUGCGUUAGGCUUCUGGAGUUAAAAAUGAAGAAGCCUUUUCCUUUCCAUCAGUUCCUUGUUAUUAAUAAGGUGGCCACACUAAGCCAGAAAUUAUAACCAUCUGCUUUAGCCAUUAAAUGCAGAUUCAAAGGCCUAAUGAUAAAGUGACCUCUUUAUUAAUAGCAGAAAGCGACAAGUGGCCAUUUUCGCAGAGCAUGCCAGGAGAUAAAUCAAUCCAUACGUUCAGGUUGACUUCAGCAAUAUUGCCUCUGAUUUCUCUUCUCUUUCAGCCUUCAUGUGUGGAAUCACCAGGUUAAACAAAACAGGAGCUCCCAGAAGCCCCUGGCCCAUGAAUUUUGUGUAUCUGGGCUGUGGAUGAGAUGCCACCGACCACCACACCUAAUCUGAAGACGCUGCCUUUUAUUUCUCCCCAUCACAAAAGCAUCACUGCACGUUUUGACUGAACCCAGGUGUGCACACGUGGGGCUUAUUUCCUGUUGUGAUUAUGCAGGAAUCAAGGCCUGAAACAGAGAAGGUGUGUGGGAAAGCCACAGAUCCGCAGAAAGAACAAGGGUCGAGUCGCCACAGCUGGGUUUUCGGAUUUCAGUGACAUAGCCCCCGCAAUUCACAUAUUAGCAUUUUCAUCAUCAAGUUGCAACAUGAUGGAGGCUUUCGAUCAAAGUGGGUUUUCCCAACCUAACCUUGCAGGGCGGACAGAAGUUUUGUUGCAAUGCAGAGGCGCAGGGACACAGCAGCAUCCUCCUGGCAGGAAACCUCCACCACCACCUAGAGCACAGGAAUCUCUGUGGGAUGCGUCUCCCCGGCCCUUGUCCAAGGGGCUUUAAGUACUGGAAGGGCCAGAAAGACCUCUUUACCAACCUCAUCUUUCUUCCAACUCAAGCCAUAGGCUUGAACCCUGAGAAAACAGCAAAAGAGGGAAGCGGUGUGACUGAGCGAGGUCCCGAGGGAUGAGUAGGAGUUCUUGGGUGGAAGGCUUUGUACAGGACGUGGAGCACACUACCUCUCCCACCAGGGAGGGGGCUCUGCAAGCACUGUCUUUACCGCAAAGUUCCAACCCUUUAAACACCCCCAAACGCCCGCGCCAGCAGCUGCGUCUCUGAACCGAACGGCCAGCACCUGCUGCCCCACCCCUCCCGUUUCCCCUCCCUGAGUCCCUCACUCGAGCCACACCGCAGAAGGCGGUCCCCAGACGUCCAGAAGGAGAAAGACCUCCAGAGGGCUGAGGGGGCAGAGGCAGGAACGCCAGACUGAGAGUUCAAUCAGAGACCCUUGCGAGUCAACUCGAAGGGACAUCAGGGAACUCUGCCCAUCUAUACCCCAACCGAAAGAAACCUCCGUCUCUCCAACCAGAAUGCAACCUCAAUGGCACGGGAGUGGGGAGUGGGGAGUGGGGAGUGGGGGUCUGCAGUGCCGGGAGUAGAGGGGAAGGGGGAUGGGGGGGUGGAGAGUAGGAGAGAAAGUGCAUCUGUAUCAGCCAAAUCCCGCAGAUCCACUGUAUCCAUUGAUGGGUGCAGGCUUCACCUCCAGGACACCCC